GGACUACCGGGGUAUCUAAUCCCGUUCGCUCCCCUAGCUUUCGCGCCUCAGCGUCAGAAGAGGUCCAGCACGUCGCUUUCGCCACCGGCGUUCCUUCCGAUAUCAACGCAUUUCACCGCUCCACCGGAAGUUCCACAUGCCCCUACCUCGCUCUAGACAACCAGUAUCAAAGGCUAUUUUCCGGUUAAGCCGAAAGAUUUCACCCCUGACUUGGCCGCCCGCCUACGCGCCCUUUAAGCCCAGUGAUUCCGAACAACGUUUGCACGGUUCGUCUUACCGCGGCGGCUGGCAC
RNAcentral lists this ribosomal RNA (292 nucleotides) under uncultured bacterium. RNAcentral describes it as "partial 16S ribosomal RNA". RNAcentral also lists the same sequence under 2 other names. The record is from RNAcentral.